RNAcentral lists this ribosomal RNA (301 nucleotides) under uncultured bacterium. RNAcentral's name for it is "partial 16S ribosomal RNA". It matches the Rfam family "Bacterial small subunit ribosomal RNA", at positions 509 to 807 of the family's 1533-position model. The record is from RNAcentral.
CAGUAUCCGCGGGAAUACGGAGGGUGCAAGCGUUAAUCGGAAUUACUGGGCGUAAAGCGCACGCAGGCGGUCUGACAAGUCAGAUGUGAAAUCCCCGGGCUUAACCUGGGAACUGCAUUUGAAACUGUCAGGCUGGAGUCUUGUAGAGGGGGGUGGAAUUCCAGGUGUAGCGGUGAAAUGCGUAGAGAUCUGGAGGAAUACCGGUGGCGAAGGCGGCCCCCUGGACAAAGACUGACGCUCAGGUGCGAAAGCGUGGGGAGCAAACAGGAUUAGAUACCCGGGUAGUCCCUGUCUCUUAUAC